UGGCUGAGCGGUAAAGCGCAAGGCUUCCAAACCGGAGGUCCCGGGUUCGAAUCCUGG
This is a non-coding RNA of Biomphalaria glabrata, 57 nucleotides long. The record is from Rfam. Lineage: Eukaryota; Metazoa; Mollusca; Gastropoda; Planorbidae.